GAGUUUGAUCCUGGCUCAGGACGAACGCUGGCGGCGUGCCUAACACAUGCAAGUCAGGGAGAAAGGAGUAGCAAUACUCCGAGUAAACCGGCGAACGGGUGAGUAACACGUAGGCAACCUUCCUCACGAACGGGGAUAACUCCGGGAAACCGAAGCUAAUACCCGAUGACAUCCCAGGGGAGCAUUUCCCAGGGAUCAAAGGCCCGCAAGGGUGUCGUGAGAUGGGCCUGCGUCCCAUUAGAUAGUUGGCGGGGUAAAAGCCCACCAAGUCCGCGAUGGGUAGCUGGUCUGAGAGGACGACCAGUCACACUGGAACUGAGACACGGUCCAGACUUCUACGGAAGGCAGCAGUGAGGAAUAUUGCUCAAUGGGCGAAAGCCUGAAGCAGCGACGCCGCGUGAAGGAUGAAAUCCGUUAGGAUGUAAACUUCUUUUGCAGGGGAAGAACGCCCCGAUUAUCGGGAGUGACGGUACCUUGCGAAUAAGCACCGGCCAACUACGUGCCAGCAGCCGCGGUAAUACGUAGGGUGCGAGCGUUGUCCGGAAUUACUGGGUGUAAAGGGUCCGUAGGCGGGCGAGCAAGUCGGUGGUGAAAGUUCACGGCCCAACCGUGAAAUUGCCAUCGAUACUACUUGUCUUGAGUCCGAGAGAGGAUGAUGGAAUUCAUGGUGUAGCAGUGAAAUGCGUAGAGAUCAUGAAGAACACCAGUAGCGAAGGCGGUCAUCUGGCUCGGUACUGACGCUGAGGGACGAAAGCGUGGGGAGCAAACAGGAUUAGAUACCCUGGUAGUCCACGCCUUAAACGAUGGAUGUUCGGUGUCGCGGUUCAGGCUGCCGUGCCGUAGCUAACGUGUUAAGUGCCCCGCCUGGGGAGUACGGCCGCAAGGCUGAAACUCAAAGGAAUUGACGGGGGCCCGCACAAGCGGUGGAGCAUGUGGUUUAAUUCGACGCAACGCGAAGAACCUUACCUGGGUUUGAACUGCUGCGGACAGCCCUAGAAACAGGGUCUUGUAGCAAUACGCACUUGUACAGGUGCUGCAUGGCUGUCGUCAGCUCGUGCCGUGAGAUGUUAGGUUAAGUCCUGCAACGAGCGCAACCCCUACACUUAGUUGCCAUCAGGUAAUGCUGGGCACUCUAAGUGGACUGCCUACGCAAGUAGUGAGGAAGGUGGGGAUGACGUCAAGUCCUCAUGGCCCUUACACCCAGGGCUACACACGUGCUACAAUGGUUGGUACAAAGGGCUGCGAAGCCGCAAGGUGAAGCCAAUCCCAAAAAACCAACCUCAGUUCGGAUUGGGGUCUGCAAUUCGACCCCAUGAAGCUGGAAUUGCUAGUAAUCGUGGAUCAGCACGCCACGGUGAUACGUUCCCGGGCAUUGUACACAC
Molecule: ribosomal RNA, 1382 nt
Filed under: uncultured prokaryote
Description: partial 16S ribosomal RNA
Rfam family: Bacterial small subunit ribosomal RNA
Source: RNAcentral